UACGGAGGGAGCUAGCGUUGUUCGGAAUUACUGGGCGUAAAGCGCACGUAGGCGGCUAUUCAAGUCAGAGGUGAAAGCCCGGGGCUCAACCCCGGAACUGCCUUUGAAACUAGGUAGCUAGAAUCUUGGAGAGGUCAGUGGAAUUCCGAGUGUAGAGGUGAAAUUCGUAGAUAUUCGGAAGAACACCAGUGGCGAAGGCGACUGACUGGACAAGUAUUGACGCUGAGGUGCGAAAGCAUGGGGAGCAAACAGG
This 253-nucleotide ribosomal RNA is filed under the name uncultured bacterium. RNAcentral's name for it is "partial 16S ribosomal RNA". It matches the Rfam family "Bacterial small subunit ribosomal RNA", at positions 524 to 776 of the family's 1533-position model. The record is from RNAcentral.